GAUGAACGCUAGCGGGAGGCCUAAUACAUGCAAGUCGAACGGUAACAGGGUAGCAAUACCGCUGACGAGUGGCGCACGGGUGCGUAACACGUACACAACCUACCUUAUACUGGAGCAUAACCUCGGGAAACUGAGGCUAAUUCUCCAUAACAUAUUAAAAAGGCAUCUUUUUGAUAUUAAAACUCCGGUGGUAUAAGAUGAGUGUGCGUCUGAUUAGCUAGUUGGUGGGGUAACGGCUCACCAAGGCAACGAUCAGUAGCUGGUCUGAGAGGAUGAUCAGCCACACGGGCACUGAGACACGGGCCCGACUCCUACGGAGGA
Molecule: ribosomal RNA, 321 nt
Filed under: uncultured bacterium
Lineage: Bacteria
Description: bacterial SSU rRNA
Rfam family: Bacterial small subunit ribosomal RNA
Source: RNAcentral